Molecule: non-coding RNA, 1902 nt
Organism: Ictidomys tridecemlineatus (thirteen-lined ground squirrel)
Lineage: Eukaryota; Metazoa; Chordata; Mammalia; Rodentia; Sciuridae
Source: RefSeq, a predicted model, not a curated record
CCUGGAAAGAGAGUGAGUUUUGCUCAGGGGUCUCCCUGUGCUGAGUGGCUGCGGCAGGCAGGGCGAUGUGCCACCCUGCAGAGGCCCCGAUCCCUGGAACCUGUAAAUGUGCUACUUUACAAGGAAAAAAGGACUUUGCAGACGUGACUCAGAACCUUGGGAUGGGGACAGCAGCUGGGAGUAUUCAGGUGAGCUCAUGAGCCUUUAAAGAUAGAAGAGGACUGGAGGAGGCAGGGCCGAGAGAGGGCCGGCCAGGGGUCCGCCACAGCCGGCCUUCACUUUGAAGAUGGAGGAAGAGGCACAGGGCCAGAUGCAGCAGCCUCUAGAAACUACGAUCAAUCUUUUUACAGCAGCAGGAACCGGGUACCUCGAUCCUACAACCACAGGAACGGAUUCUGUCAACAACCUGAAAAAGCAGGAACCAGAUUCUUCCCCUCAACUCUCCGGAAAGGAGCCGGCCUGCCAAGGCCUUGACCUCAGCCUGAGGAGACCCACAGACUCUGGCCCAAGAACUGUAGGAUGAGAAACUUUGUAUUGUCUUAAAACACUACAUUUGUGGCAAUUUGUUACCCCAACAAUAAAAAAUGAAUACAGUGACCCUUAGAGGUUGGGGUGGGGUCCAGCCUCCAGACCAGGGCUCCAGGGUAGGCAAAGGCCCAGGGAGCGUGGCCCCACGAGUCUGUAUUAGGUCACAUCAGCCCAGGACUUAAUCUUCCCAAUCUUAUUUGAUUCUUUCCAACAACACUGUGACACAAAUAGUAUCCUGUUGCCUUUUGCCUGAACCUCAGAGAAGCCAGGGGUAAUGAUCAUGAUUCCGUGUACUAACCGCAUUCCUAGUAUCAUGCACCACGCAUAUGUCACCUCACUCAGUUCUUUAUAUGGAGAAGUUGUCUAACUGUCAAGGCCACAGAGCUGGAAUGGCUGACCUCCUUCCAACCUGGGAACCACCUUUACUGGGUGACAUAAACCGGUUUUCCUGGCAGGCAUUCUUGGAGAUGGGAUUAGUGAGCUCGUGAGAAGAAGCCUUACCUCUGUAAGGGAAGAAGGACUGAGUGGAGAGGCUGACCGGAGGCGAUAAAGUCCUCUGCUGACCUUGCAGGAAGACCCCUCAGAGUCGACCUCAGUCCCUUUAUAGAUGCCUCAGUCCCAGCAUCUAUAAAAGGGGAAGAUUAAUGGCCCACAUGACUUCACCUGCUGCUGCCCUCCUCCAGCACCCCACCACUGUCCCUCCCUGCGCAGGGAGACAUCAGUAGGUGUCGGUCCGUCAUCAGGAGACUCACGACAUGGAGGGAGAAGGUGCACUAUGAAAUGCAGAGCAUCCUUCCAUCUCUACCCUCAGGAGCCGGUUCCCACCUUUACCUUGUGAGUUCCGCACUGCAUCUCAUUCAGUGUACCACUGACCUGCAGGACUGGCAUUCUUAACCCAUUGUACAGAAGGGAAACAGGGACUCGAAGACUCUCGGUACAUUGCCUAAGCUCACACAGACAGACAGACAGACCACGUGGGAUUCCAACCCAGGCCUCUCUGACCCCAAAGUUCAUGCCCUUUUGCUUUAUGCUGUUUCUUUUCCACACAGCCACAUAAUGAAUCCUGGCAAACGUUUAUUGAGCAACUACUACACGCCGGGCUUUGUUCUAAGCAUGUAUCUAUUUUAUCUCAUUCAAUCUUAACAAUCACACUAGAACAUAAUACCAUUCUUUAUCUUGUCUUAUAGAUAAAAAAGCUAGGGUUUGAGAUGCCUAAAUAACUCCACCACAGCAGGUGACUGCAGAGCUGGGGCUUAAGCACUGGAGUGUGUGUGUGAUAUUUUUGGAUUGUUUCUGCUACUUAGCACUGUCGGUGCUUCUUUGCUCAGGGGGCUGGAGCAGCCAGAAGGUAAAUUCCUCAUCUCCAGCACAGCA